Long non-coding RNA from Scleropages formosus (Asian bonytongue), 1052 nucleotides. RefSeq lists it as uncharacterized. Lineage: Eukaryota; Metazoa; Chordata; Actinopteri; Osteoglossiformes; Osteoglossidae. The record is from RefSeq and is a predicted model, not a curated record. The transcript has 3 exons.
UUCUACGCUCCGUCUCCUAGAGCGAGAAACGGAGAAGGACCAAGGACUGCAGCUCAAAAGCCCGAGUCUCUGCCUACAGUUCUGACGCCCUUCUCCCCGAGGACUCGUCCAGCUUGAAGUAAAGACACAUUUACAUGUAACAGGAAGAAGCAGCAGCAGAAAGAAAGGAGCAGCUUCGGGAUCCACACUUUGUGAAGCCACAGCUACCAGGAUGUCAGAUUUCCAAACAGUGCGAGUAAAAACCUCUGCAACUAAGAAGCCCUGAUGCACCAGGGGUCUGGAAACAAGGCGAUGAAGAUUUCAGGCUUCGGAUGCCCUGGUUCAAACGAGGUCAUUUGGUUCCCCUCGGUUUUCGCUUCACGACAAUAUUCCUCUGCAGAACAAUUCGGCGAGAAUCAGCGCCUGGGCUUCAGCGGAUCCUCGGGUCCCCUAAAGGAGCGUAGUGCUGUGGCUCAGCAUCGCAAAAUGUUAAUGAGCACAUUAAUCUGCCUUCGUGUCCGCGGCCUGAGUCGCGUUCCCACCUAGUGGGAACCGCAGGUACGGAGCUCAGCGCUCACUGCUCCGGUACUCUGGUACAAUACCCAAGGAGCAGGUCCUUCCACCAUCACAGCCACAAACUCCAAGUGGAGCUCAGGUGGGUCUGCGGAGGGCCAACGUCGCACCGCUGGAAAGGAGGUGCGCUGUACGUAGGCAGCGGCGGGACAAGAGCCGACCUGCGAUACCCAAGAGCGCACGCUGCCGGAGACACGAGAACGAGGCAGCGACGGUGCUUCUCCUUCCCUUCCCCGUACACUCGCGGUGCGUUUACGCAGCACGGAGCAAAUGUGCCGACACAAUCGAACACCACAAGUUGCUGCAGUAAUGCAUUCUUUCAUUGGUUGAGUUCAAAUCUGGCUUUGAAGCCACCCUGGUUCAGCUCCUGGUCACACAUGUUUUGGAAAUCCGACUGCAGACAGCGAGUCUGUGUUUUUCAACAAGGUGAAAGAGGAAGGAAGAGAAUGAAACAGGAAUGUGCUCCACAGUGAAAGCUGCCUGUAAGCCAUGUGAACGCU